RNAcentral lists this ribosomal RNA (395 nucleotides) under uncultured bacterium. RNAcentral's name for it is "bacterial SSU rRNA". It matches the Rfam family "Bacterial small subunit ribosomal RNA", at positions 505 to 898 of the family's 1533-position model. The record is from RNAcentral.
GUGUCAGCCGCCGCGGUAAUACGAACCGUCCAAACGUUAUUCGGAUUUAUUGGGCUUAAAGGGUAUGUAGGCGGCGCCAUCAGUCGGGUGUGAAAGCCCUCGGCUCAACCGAGGAACUGCGCCCGAUACUGUGGUGCUUGAGGGAGACAGAGGUAAGCGGAACUGAUGGUGGAGCGGUGAAAUGCGUUGAUAUCAUCAGGAACACCAGUGGCGAAAGCGGCUUACUGGGUCUCUUCUGACGCUGAGAUACGAAAGCUAGGGGAGCGAACGGGAUUAGAUACCCCGGUAGUCCUAGCUGUAAACGAUGAGCACUUGAUCGUGGGGCCCCCCAUAGCCUCUCGGUCGCAGCGAAAGUGGUAAGUGCUCCGCCUGGGGAGUAUGGUCGCAAGGCUGAA